RNAcentral lists this ribosomal RNA (303 nucleotides) under uncultured bacterium. Its description in RNAcentral is "partial 16S ribosomal RNA". It matches the Rfam family "Bacterial small subunit ribosomal RNA", at positions 507 to 809 of the family's 1533-position model. The record is from RNAcentral.
AGCAGCAGCCGCGGUAAUACGGAGGGUGCAAGCGUUAAUCGGAAUUACUGGGCGUAAAGCGCACGCAGGCGGUCUGACAAGUCAGAUGUGAAAUCCCCGGGCUUAACCUGGGAACUGCAUUUGAAACUGUCAGGCUGGAGUCUUGUAGAGGGGGGUGGAAUUCCAGGUGUAGCGGUGAAAUGCGUAGAGAUCUGGAGGAAUACCGGUGGCGAAGGCGGCCCCCUGGACAAAGACUGACGCUCAGGUGCGAAAGCGUGGGGAGCAAACAGGAUUAGAUACCCGCGUAGCCCUGUCUCUUAUACA